This 418-nucleotide ribosomal RNA is filed under the name uncultured eukaryote. RNAcentral describes it as "SSU rRNA". It matches the Rfam family "Eukaryotic small subunit ribosomal RNA", at positions 592 to 1017 of the family's 1831-position model. The record is from RNAcentral.
CAAUAGCGUAUAUUAAAGUUGUUGCAGUUAAAAAAGCUCGUAGUUGAACCUUGGGUCUGGCUGGCCGGUCCGCCUCACCGCGAGUACUGGUCCGGCUGGACCUUUCCUUCUGGGGAACCUCAUGGCCUUCACUGGCUGUGGGGAGACCAGGACUUUUACUGUGAAAAAUUAGAGUGUUCAAAGCAGGCCUUUGCUCGAAUACAUUAGCAUGGAAUAAUAGAAUAGGACGUGUGGUUCUAUUUUGUUGGUUUCUAGGACCGAAGUAAUGAUUAAUAGGGACAGUUGGGGGCAUUAGUAUUUAAUUGUCAGAGGUGAAAUUCUUGGAUUUAUGAAAGACUAACUACUGCGAAAGCAUUUGCCAAGGAUGUUUUCAUUAAUCAAGAACGAAAGUUAGGGGAUCGAAGACGAUUAGAUACCA